CUAAGGCUCAAAGGAGAAGAGUGACUUGAGCAGUGCCUGGCAUCAGGGUGCUUCUGUCCUCCAGCUCCAUGAGAAGUGAGAUUGGCCUGCCUCACCCAGCCCAGCAUAGAAUUAGUGGUCUGACACCCCACUAGCCUGCAGCACCCAGCAACAACAAACCCUUAGAAUCUCCAUUUCUUUUUUCUUUUUUGAAGAAUUUCCACUUCUUGAUGGACCACUUCAGUCCAACACAAACUUUGGACCCAGAGUGACUCAGUUUAAAACCUGUGUGUGCAUUUCUUACCUUGGAUCUUCCCAAUUAUCUGUGGCAAAGUGCAUGCAGGGUGAAGAACAGCACCGAGGAAAUGUAGAAUGGGAUUUCUGUCCUGCAAGGCCCAAACUGGAAGGGCUCACUCCACAGUCCCAACCAUCUGUAUAGCACGCCAGCCAACAAGAGAGGCUCCACGGCACUGAUACACAAAAUCUGUGAUGAGACACCACGCAAGAGGGUCACUCAAUCCCAGAAGGUGAGCAGUGAGCCUUGUGGGGCUGACCCAUUUCUCAGAGGCCUGAUGUGGUCCCAGGGUGAGUUCAGAAUGACCUGUGGGAUUGGCAUCUGCAGCAAAGAGGCUACAGGGAGAAAAUGGGAGAUUCUGGUCCUUCCUGGUGUCUUACAAUGUCCUGGCAAAGGGCUGGUUUCUCAGGCCAAGAACUUUUGUGUUUCUCCUGUCCUGUCCUGUCCUUUUCUGCUUUGCUUCUCCACAGCAACCCGCCUAGGACUUGAAUCCCAGCUCUGUUCCCCACUUGCUGGGAUGUGUGACUUUAGCCAUGUCACCUAACUCUCCCAGUCUCUGUGUCCACCACUGUAAAUAAGGAUAAUGCUGUCUCUUUG
Long non-coding RNA from Manis pentadactyla (Chinese pangolin), 871 nucleotides. RefSeq lists it as uncharacterized. The record is from RefSeq and is a predicted model, not a curated record. NCBI's taxonomy places the organism in Eukaryota, Metazoa, Chordata, Mammalia, Pholidota, Manidae. The transcript has 3 exons.